AGAUUUAUAAUUAACAUAUAAUAUUUAAUUUGCAAUUAAAACUAGUUAGUACCUAACUAAAUCUA
RNAcentral lists this transfer RNA (65 nucleotides) under Sphaerotheriidae sp. HYS-2012. RNAcentral describes it as "tRNA-Ala". The record is from RNAcentral. Lineage: Eukaryota; Metazoa; Arthropoda; Diplopoda; Sphaerotheriida; Sphaerotheriidae.